Dioscorea cayenensis subsp. rotundata (Guinea yam) is the source of this 107-nucleotide small nucleolar RNA. The record is from RefSeq and is a predicted model, not a curated record. Lineage: Eukaryota; Viridiplantae; Streptophyta; Magnoliopsida; Dioscoreales; Dioscoreaceae.
AACCCAUGAUGGGGGCAUAUUCACAAAAGUUUCUUAAACCUUUUAUAAGCUUCAAACAAUGUUUUUGAAUCUUCUUGCCUGAAGGCUGAAAUUUCCUACUUGAGUCU